RNAcentral lists this ribosomal RNA (253 nucleotides) under uncultured bacterium. RNAcentral describes it as "partial 16S ribosomal RNA". It matches the Rfam family "Bacterial small subunit ribosomal RNA", at positions 524 to 776 of the family's 1533-position model. The record is from RNAcentral.
UACGUAGGGUGCAAGCGUUGUCCGGAAUUAUUGGGCGUAAAGAGCUCGUAGGCGGUCUGUCGCGUCUGCUGUGAAAUCUCAGGGCUUAACCCUGAGCUUGCAGUGGGUACGGGCAGACUAGAGUGCGGUAGGGGAGACUGGAAUUCCUGGUGUAGCGGUGAAAUGCGCAGAUAUCAGGAGGAACACCGAUGGCGAAGGCAGCUCACUGGGACGGUACUGACGCUGAGACGCGAAAGCGUGGGGAGCAAACAGG